Molecule: ribosomal RNA, 478 nt
Filed under: uncultured bacterium
Lineage: Bacteria
Description: partial 16S ribosomal RNA
Rfam family: Bacterial small subunit ribosomal RNA
Source: RNAcentral
GAUGAACGCUGGCGGCGUGCUUAACACAUGCAAGUCGAACGGGAAACCUUUUAUUGAAGCUUCGGCAGAUUUAGCUGGUUUCUAGUGGCGGACGGGUGAGUAACGCGUGGGUAACCUGCCUUAUACAGGGGGAUAACAACCAGAGAUGGUUGCUAAUACCGCAUAAGCGCACAGGACCGCAUGGUCCGGUGUGAAAAACUCCGGUGGUAUAAGAUGGACCCGCGUUGGAUUAGCUAGUUGGCAGGGUAACGGCCUACCAAGGCGACGAUCCAUAGCCGGCCUGAGAGGGUGAACGGCCACAUUGGGACUGAGACACGGCCCAGACUCCUACGGGAGGCAGCAGUGGGGAAUAUUGCACAAUGGGGGAAACCCUGAUGCAGCGACGCCGCGUGAAGGAAGAAGUAUCUCGGUAUGUAAACUUCUAUCAGCAGGGAAGAUAGUGACGGUACCUGACUAAGAAGCCCCGGCUAACUACGUG